Molecule: ribosomal RNA, 318 nt
Filed under: uncultured bacterium
Lineage: Bacteria
Description: bacterial SSU rRNA
Rfam family: Bacterial small subunit ribosomal RNA
Source: RNAcentral
AUUGAACGCUGGCGGCAGGCCUAACACAUGCAAGUCGAACGGUAACAGAACUAGCUUGCUAGUUGCUGACGAGUGGCGGACGGGUGAGUAAUGCUUGGGAACUUGCCUUUAGAGGGGGAUAACAGUUGGAAACGACUGCUAAUACCGCAUAACGUCUACGGACCAAAGGGGGCUUCGGCUCCCGACCUAGAGAGAGGCCCAAGUGAGAUUAGCUAGUUGGUGAGGUAAAAGCUCACCAAGGCGACGAUCUCUAGCUGUUCUGAGAGGAAGAUCAGCCACACUGGGACUGAGACACGGCCCAGACUCCUACGGAGGCAG